Molecule: long non-coding RNA, 1327 nt
Filed under: Takifugu rubripes (torafugu)
Lineage: Eukaryota; Metazoa; Chordata; Actinopteri; Tetraodontiformes; Tetraodontidae
Description: lncRNA (ENSTRUG00000032229.1)
Source: RNAcentral
AUGAGCUAUUUUUUCGAACUGGGAUACGGCCUAGGGUUGUUCAUUAUCAUUUUCAUCUGUGUGGGUAUCGUCGGUUGCUGUGUAGCUCUCUGCUGCUGCUGUUGCAAGAAAAGAAACCCGCAAAGGCACCAAAAUGUGACUACAGUAGUGUACACACAUCCGUCUUCUUCCCAAAUACCCGUUUCUGGGCCUCAGCCACAGUACCCAGCUUACCAGCCAGUACCUCAGCAAGCACACGGCGUACCUUACAUGACAGCACCUCCACCAUCAUACCAGGAAGCUACUGAUCCAGCUCUCUUGCCACACAACCCAGGGAUGAUGUUCCUCCACCCCAGUCAGCCUUCUGGGCACUCAGACGUGCACACACAGUUGCCCUACAAUCCUGCUUUUUACCCAAACACAGCCUCAUUUAACCAACCUGUCAAUAAGUACUGAGUACCACUAGAUGGCGCCACCGUGUUAUGCAUUCCAUUGCAUUCCGCCACCUUCUUAUGCAUUCCAAACAGUCACAAAAGGGUCAAACCUGCUGAUGGUGCUGUAGCUGUGAAGAAAAAUGCCCUCAUAAAUAAUGUUUUGUUUACGUAUUGCUUGCAAUCAAUCGAUAUAGGAUUGAUUUACACAAUUGUUGGUCAAUCCACACACAAAGCUUAAGAAAUGAAACUAUUGCCGUGGCCUUGAUUAUUGAUACUGUUAAACAUCACUAUUUAAGGUCAGUAAAGGUCAGGUCAGUAUAGAACAGCUUUUAUGCACUGUGUAAAAAAUAUUAUUGAUGUCUGUCUGCCUGUGCUAAAGUGAGUUAUGAUAUGGAGAUUUGUAGUUUGGUAUGAUUGUGUCAAUUAUGGCUAAAACAUGUACCGUAUUCUGUAUGUCUGCAGCAUGGGAGGUGGGGCUUGAUGGAAAUUCUCAUAUCAUGAAGGAUCAAAAGCCAAAUACUUUUCUACUGUUUUUUAAUAGGUUUGUAAAACACAAGCAUUAUGUCUUAAAUAGUUCCCAUAAUGCAAUAAAAAUGUUAUUCCCUGCAGUGGGAUGAAACUGCAGUGUUCUGUUCCCGUUCUUCCUUUGGGAUCAUGUGUGGUUGAAUAGCUUUAGUGGGUGUGCUUGCAUUUAAUCCCAUAAUGUCCAGGGCCACUCCCUCUUAUUGCAUCCCUCGCUGUCCAUUAAUCAAUACAGUAUUAGUGCUGACCACAGCAAUCUCAGUCACCAGAUUGGCUCUGGGCUGUGAUGGGAAAACGGCGUGUACAGUACUUCCACCUUAGUGUCUAAAAUAAGAAGCUUUCUCCUUGAAGUGUGGCUCAGACUGCUAAUGAGCAAGGAGGCCAGGCUCAUG